RNAcentral lists this long non-coding RNA (936 nucleotides) under Helianthus annuus (common sunflower). Lineage: Eukaryota; Viridiplantae; Streptophyta; Magnoliopsida; Asterales; Asteraceae. The record is from RNAcentral.
GGGGAAGGGGUGUAAACCCUAACCCACAUGAAAUCAUCAAAUUGGAAAAGGAUUUGAGGGUUAAUUGGAUGCAUGAACCAAGAUUUAUGAUCACUCAAGCGUUCUUGACACCAAGAUAGGAAUCCCAAAUUGAGAUGGACCCAAGUAUGGAAAGCUAACGGGUCAAGCGGAGGUGAGGAAGCAAGCAUGAACACUAACGCUUAAGGUAAGUGAUUCCGUAAUCACUUCUUAGUUGUUUAUGUAAUGUUAUAUGCAAUUUAAUUAUAUGUGAUAAUUGAGGUCGAAUAGGAAUGAAUUGUAUGAUGUCAAUGGAGUAUUAAACGGAUUUUAGUUUUGAUCCGAGCAAGGUAGGUGUGAUUAAGAAAUAGUAGCUAAGUAGUGGAAUUGGUUACUUAUGUAAGGAAUUCCUUUGUUAUUAAGGAUAGAGCAUAGUUGACUAAAAUGCCCUUGAUAGGUAUAUUGGGCAAACGACCUUAGAAGUCGUUUGGAAACGAGCUAUUCGAUUAGAGUAAUGUCUUGGACAAGUAUGAAAGCGAAGUAUAGGGUUUGGUAUGUCAUAGUCCACUUAAUGCGCAAAUACCCAUAACGGGUCAAAAAUAAGCCUUUGAGCGAAAAUGGGUUAAGAGGAUGCAAGACGUCCGAGAAUUUAAUCUUUUAUGAUAGGUGCCAAUGAAAUUAUUAAAGUUCAUAUGAGAUUGAGGUCAAAUAAACAGAUUAUGUUGAUAAAUGCACGAACGGGUCAAUUAGUUAGAAAAUGAUAAUAUGUCGAAUGCACGUAAGUUAAGAAUUUCCUUAAUCCGGAGGUAGGAUUUCAAGUUAAUAUGAUAGAAUGUGAAUUUACAAGCAUGUAGGAAGAAACGGGAGGUUAAACGGGUAAACGGUUUAAAAGUUAUGCGAGUUUUAGUGGGUGUUUUGUAUCUGCACCCGGAGUAUGGA